AGUAGAGAGUGGGCUACGGGAGGAGGAGGAGGAGGAGGAGCCUGCGGUGUUCACACAGUAGAGAGUGGGCUACGGGAGAAGUAAGAGGGGGAGGAGCCUGUGGUGUUCACACAGUAGAGAGUGGGCUAUGGGAGGAGGAGGAGGAGGAGGGGCCUGUGGUGUUCACACAGUAGAGAGUGGGCUAUGGGAGGAGGAGGAGGAGGAGGAGGAGCCUGUGGUGUUCACAUAGUAGACGAGUUGGGUUAUGGGUGAGGAGCGAGAAGGGACGGAUGGAGCUGCGGUGUGUCACAUAGUAGAAGCAGUGGGUUAUGGGAGGAGGAGGAGGAGGGGAGGAGGGGACUGUG
This 344-nucleotide long non-coding RNA is filed under the name Aotus nancymaae (Ma's night monkey). RNAcentral's name for it is "lncRNA (ENSANAG00000039263.1)". The record is from RNAcentral. Lineage: Eukaryota; Metazoa; Chordata; Mammalia; Primates; Aotidae.